This 460-nucleotide ribosomal RNA is filed under the name uncultured bacterium. RNAcentral describes it as "partial 16S ribosomal RNA". It matches the Rfam family "Bacterial small subunit ribosomal RNA", at positions 338 to 795 of the family's 1533-position model. The record is from RNAcentral.
CCUACGGGAGGCAGCAGUGAGGAAUAUUGGUCAAUGGGCGCGAGCCUGAACCAGCCAAGUCGCGUGAGGGAUGACGGUCCUACGGAUUGUAAACCUCUUUUGCCGGGGAGCAACGGGCGUCACGUGUGGCGCCACUGAGAGUACCCGGAGAAAAAGCAUCGGCUAACUCCGUGCCAGCAGCCGCGGUAAUACGGAGGAUGCGAGCGUUAUCCGGAUUUAUUGGGUUUAAGGGGUGCGUAGGCGGAUCGUUAAGUCAGUGGUCAAAUUGAGGGGCUCAACCCCUUCCCGCCAUUGAAACUGGCGUUCUUGAGUGGAAGAGAAGUAUGCGGAAUGCGUGGUGUAGCGGUGAAAUGCAUAGAUAUCACGCAGAACCCCGAUUGCGAAGGCAGCAUGCCGGCUUCCGACUGACGCUGAAGCACGAAAGCGUGGGGAUCGAACAGGAUUAGAUACCCCUGUAGUC